UACGGAAGGCAGCAGUGGGGAAUAUUGCACAAUGGGCGAAAGCCUGAUGCAGCUAUGCCGCGUGUAUGAAGAAGGCCUUUAGGGGUUGUAAAGUACUUUUCAUCGGGGAGGAAAAAACAAAACUAAUAAUUUUAUUUCUUGACGUUACCCGAAAAAGAAGCACCGGCUAACUCCGUGCCAGCAGCCGCGGUAAUACGGAGGGUGCUAGCGUUAAUCAGAAUUACUGGGCGUAAAAGAGCACGUAGGUGGUUUUUUUAAGUCAGAUGUGAAAAUCCCUGGGCUUAACCUAGGAACUGCAUUUUGAAACUGAAAUACUAGGGUAUCGUAGAGGGAGGUAGAAUUCUAGGUGUAGCGGUGAAAUGCGUAGAUAUCUGGAGGAAUACCUGUGGCGAAAAGCGGCCUCCUAAACGAAAUACUGACACUGAGGGUGCGAAAGCGUGGGGAGCAAAACAGGGAUUAGAUACC
Molecule: ribosomal RNA, 465 nt
Filed under: uncultured bacterium
Lineage: Bacteria
Description: bacterial SSU rRNA
Rfam family: Bacterial small subunit ribosomal RNA
Source: RNAcentral